RNAcentral lists this long non-coding RNA (1443 nucleotides) under Junco hyemalis (dark-eyed junco). Its description in RNAcentral is "lncRNA (ENSJHYG00000013844.1)". Lineage: Eukaryota; Metazoa; Chordata; Aves; Passeriformes; Passerellidae. The record is from RNAcentral.
CAGGAAAUGAUUAAUUAAGGAAUUCUUUUCAUUGCCAUUAAUAGUUUUGCAGACAACCCGACGAGAUAAUCAUCACACGCUGGCAAUCACUUGCCAUCAAUUAUCCCCACGCUGCUGCUGUCAGUGGAUCACAGCCCCUACCUGGUGGGAGUCACUGCUGGUGCCACCGAGGCAUUUUCCAGAAAUGCAGGGCUGGGGAGGAUGGGAAACAGCUUCCAGACAGGCUCUGAGAUUGAUAUGCACGCCAAAGGGAAAUGCAUUAAACUAUUUAACUGCCUGGAAAUCCAGCAUAAUGAACAUCCAAAGAGGCUGAUUCCUGCCGUGUUUGAAGCACAAUUGCUGAUAUUCAGGAUCGUCUUCCAGCCCCUCCCGAUAGCCGGGAGCUGUUUCAGGCAGCAGCAGGAUCCCACCCAUUCCUGGGAGCUCCGCAGGAUACCCCAGUGAUAAAACCCUGGUUUUUGGGAUUUACGGGCACAUAACCCCCCCAGAGCAGCACCUGAGCUGGAGACUGUGGGAAAACAAAACCAAAGAGGUGUAAAAUGGAGCCACUUUCUUUCCCAGCCUGCAUUCCUGGGAUGAGGCAAAAGAAGGAGCUACUCCAUCCCUCUGGAUGAGCUGCUCCUCCUGCCAGUACAUAUCGGCUGUUAAAUGCUUACCCAGCACCGGGACGGGGUUAUUAGGAGCAGUGAAUUCCUUUGAUAAGUUCCCAGGUCAUAAAGAUGUUUGACUCCUCAUUUGCACGUUCCUCUCGGAAUCGAUCAAAGCGGAAAAGCUGGAGGGUAAAAAUCGAUAAGGGAGAAGGGUCUGUGGGAAGACGUAUGGAUAGAGCUGGGCAGGGGCAGGGCAAUCAGUUAUUGUGCUAAUUGAUGGCAGGAUGAGAACUCAGAAUUGAUCAGAGGCUGCCUGAGCUGAUACAACUCAGUGGCUCCAGAAUCCUGCUCUGGAGAUCUCUCAGAGGGAUGCUCGGAUCAGCUGCACCGUUCCCAACCCACUCAGCUGCAGGGGUUUAUUGACAGGGAAAAGCAAAAUGAGCCUGGCUCUGGGUUAGAUCCCCCAAAAAGCAGGACUCUGCUGAUCAGGGCUCCUGCUAUUCCAGCAGAUUUCCACUGCUAUGUGGAUCCAGGGGCUGUUGGUGUAUCCAUGAAUCACCCACCCUCUCCUCCACUGAGGGCUUAGAGCAACCUCUGCCUCCCUCCAGAGCACCACAGGGCAUCAAGGAUAAAUAAUUCACCCUCCUGACACCACUCUUGUGGGCUGGAGUCUGUCCAGAGGAGAGAGGAGACUGAGGCACAGGCACAGUGAAGAGCUGGUUGCUGCUGAACCUCACUGCGAGAGGAGAUCAGAGAUCAGGAGAUCAGCUGUGCACCAAGGCUGUUCCCAGUUUUUGCAGAGUGUUCCCAGCACUGCUGCUGUGGGAUGAAACAGGAAUCCUCGUGCCCCAGG